Molecule: transfer RNA, 68 nt
Filed under: Psychrolutes paradoxus (tadpole sculpin)
Lineage: Eukaryota; Metazoa; Chordata; Actinopteri; Perciformes; Psychrolutidae
Description: tRNA-Tyr
Rfam family: tRNA
About the family: Transfer RNA (tRNA) molecules are approximately 80 nucleotides in length. Their secondary structure includes four short double-helical elements and three loops (D, anti-codon, and T loops).
Source: RNAcentral
GGUAGGAUGGCUGAGCUAAGCGGUGGAUUGUAGCCCCAUAGACAGAGGUUUGAGCCCUCUUCUUAUCA